ACACUCCUACGGGAGGCAGCAGUGGGGAAUUUUGGACAAUGGGCGAAAGCCUGAUCCAGCCAUGCCGCGUGCAGGAUGAAGGCCUUCGGGUUGUAAACUGCUUUUGUACGGAACGAAACGGCCUUUUCUAAUAAAGAGGGCUAAUGACGGUACCGUAAGAAUAAGCACCGGCUAACUACGUGCCAGCAGCCGCGGUAAUACGUAGGGUGCAAGCGUUAAUCGGAAUUACUGGGCGUAAAGCGUGCGCAGGCGGUUAUGUAAGACAGUUGUGAAAUCCCCGGGCUCAACCUGGGAACUGCAUCUGUGACUGCAUAGCUAGAGUACGGUAGAGGGGGAUGGAAUUCCGCGUGUAGCAGUGAAAUGCGUAGAUAUGCGGAGGAACACCGAUGGCGAAGGCAAUCCCCUGGACCUGUACUGACGCUCAUGCACGAAAGCGUGGGGAGCAAACAGGAUUAGAUACCCGAGUAGUCCCA
RNAcentral lists this ribosomal RNA (473 nucleotides) under uncultured organism. RNAcentral's name for it is "partial 16S ribosomal RNA". It matches the Rfam family "Bacterial small subunit ribosomal RNA", at positions 333 to 797 of the family's 1533-position model. The record is from RNAcentral.